AAUUAGUAACACAUUUGAAUAUCACUGCCUUAUAUAUAUACCAUAUCUCCGGAUCGGCCCACUAGAACUCAUAGUGGGUUUGGAGGAUCCAUGCUAGUCUGUAGCUCCCUACAUUAUUCCCCCAGGCUUGGGUCAGGCUUUAAGGUUCAGAGAAUGAUCCAUGGAUUUCUGCUGAUACCAGCAGAAUGCAGGGGGGAUUUAGCUCAAAGUCUCAUUCCCACCAAUGUUAAAUAGAGCCUUAAAGAGAAAAGGCUCUUAGAAUCACAAUGGUUUAUGACAGUCUACUGAAUUACAAACCAAACUUGCCUUCCAUUAGAACUUACAUUUAGUCUGUCCUGGAUCUGGUCUAUAACUGUGAAAGGAUUAUCAAUCCUUCUAGCCCUUCUCCAAAAAACAUGAAUAAAGUCAAUCUUAUCCUUCAGUGACACACAUGCCAGUGUGACCAAUAACUUUUAUCCUAAAUCACAAAAAUUUGACCUAAGAAAUGUCCAAUGAAGCAAAAGUACAAUGAAGUACUUUGAGACAGUUUUUAUUAACAAUGAAGAUACUACAUCUUUUGUGUUUGUAAUAGGCAAGUUCUUAAAUAAUACAUGUGUUCUUUACAAUAAGAACUUACUUUUAGGUCAGAAACUUCAACUUUCAAGUAUUCAACAAAAUUUUAAAAAACUAAACACAAUACUUUAACUUGAACAUUACAAAUAUACAUUAAAACCCUAGAACCCUAAAAUAAUGUAUAUUAAAUUUACAUUUUUGUGGGUUUGAAAAAUAUAUAAACUUCAAAAGACAUCAGAAAAAAAAGUAUGUGGAUCCAGGAAAAAGAGCAAAGCAGAGUCAAAAGCAGGGUGCAUUUCAAAUAGGUCACACUCAACUUUUAACUCUAAGAACAACAACAACAAAAAAUAAGCUUAGUAACAGCUGUCAGCCAACCACAAAGCAGACAGAUCAGGACUCAACCACUCCAGAUACCAAUGAGGUCCAACCUUCAAUGUUUUUUUAAAAAAGUUAUAUAGUGUCAGAGCAGAGCACUGUGAUAAGACAGGAUAUACUGUCCUGAGUUAAAAGUAACAAAGAUUUUAAAUCUUUUCACCAAUCCUUAAAAAAAUAGAUUUUAAUAACAGUGAUAAUUUUGUUUUUAUCCUUACUGUGUCAGAUACUGUAUACAUUAAAGUCACCUUUAAAAUAUUAGUGUAAUAAAAUAUAGAAUUUUUUGGGAAAUUUUCUUUCUUGUUUGUAGAUAGAGGAUAAGGGUGGAAAUAUCCAUAAGAAAAAAUUCUUCUCUUUUUAAAUUCCCUAAUACUCAAUUUCCAAAAUUCAUGGGGCGGGGUACAGCCAACAACGAAAUGUUAUUGUCCAAAUCCAAAAAUAUGAGCAUGACAGUCACAUACAAAUAAAUAUAACCUUCAAAGCAAGCAAGGAAACUGAACAGACCCCAUAGUGCUAUUCUAUGCAAUGUUUCCUCUUUAUUACUCAAUACAUAUUCUCCUGAGAAGAAAAUUUUCUGAGGAUUUAGAAGAGAUUUUCAAAGACUUACAUACUUCAUCACUGUAAUGUUUAGUGCUAACCUCCGUUAUUUGUUCAAACUGAGAGUGUUACUUGCAAUAGAGACAUAAACAUUGUAAAACGAUACUUGAUAGUUUUCUUCAUUUUGCUUUUGGCUUGCUAAAUCUAUAUUCUAAAGCAGUUACCAAUAUUUUCUGUAAAAACCUUCAAGAACCACCUUUUGUUUUUUCUUCAAGUGCUGCUUAAACCAUUUGUUGGUUUUAGUUCCCUAAAAAAUAAUUAUUUUAAGUAGAUCAGCUUGACUUGUCAUAUCAAUUGUUUCCUGUACUGUAAGACAUAGGAGGUUUGCUACUAAUACUGUAAGAUGCUGUCCAAAAUGUAUGUAUGUAUACUUCCCCUCAACAGUUCAUUGUAUUCUAUAUACCUAAGGAAGGUGUGUGGGGGGGAUUAAAUAAUAUUUGAAGACUAGUUCUGGGUUUAUUGGCGAUACCCUCACUUCAUUCUGUUCCUCUAUCCUCAAUUGUCACAGAUAACAAAGCUAUGUUGAAUCAAGAAAAAGGUAGUUUCAUGGGUGGGGGAUGGACUAAAUGGGUAAUAGGUAUUAAGGAGGACACUUGUUAUGAUGAGCACUGAGUGUUAUAUGUAAAUGAUAAAUCACUAAAUUGUACUUCUGAAACCAAUAUUAUAUUCUAUGUUAACUAGAAUUUACAUAAAAAUUUGGAAGAAAAAAAUAAAGAUGCCUUCUGCAAAAAAAAAGAAGAAAGAAAGAAAAAGGUAGUUUCAAUACAUUAUUUGGGAAAGACACACUUUUACAUCAAGCUCAUAUUUUCCUUGAACUCUUAAAUCUUAGUAUUUUUAAACAGUACCCACCCAAAUGUUACUGAAAGUUUCAUCAAUUACUUAACACUCAUAUUUCUAUACACCAGGGAUUGGUUGUGUAUCUUUUGGUUAAAUUCAUGAACCUCUAUAUGUAUGAAUAUAUUGGACCAGUUUAUUCAACAUUCAUUCAACCAAUAUUAAUUAAGCAUUAUUAAACAAGUAUUUUUCCCCCCUCGGUUGGUCUUUGAGAACAAUAUCCACAUCUUCCUUUUUCUUCCCUCUUCUUUUUGUAAUUGCUUAUAGUUAGACCCACUACGUCUUUUUGCUUCUAAAGGGGCACCUGGACUGAAGAAUGCCUUAAACUACAAACGCAAAGAGGUCAAAAGGCUUGGAAAGCAGGAUUGUGUAUUAUGGUGAACAUUUGAUAGUUAUUGUAGCAGUUAGGUAAUUGUGUACCAAUUGAUGAGGAGCUUUAAAACCAAUAACUCAGAUUUUUAGUCCCAGAUUUGGUUCUAGAAGCAGAUAUAUGCUAUACUUUGUGGUUUCAGAUUUGAUAAUAUUAACAGAAUAGCUAACACAUAUUGUUAUUAGUAUGUAUCAGGUACUCUUCUAAAGCAUUUUACAUAUGUUUUAACUCAUUUAAUAUUUAAUUCAUUUUAACUUAUUCAACCCUCAUAAUAACCCUUUUGGUAGAUGCUCUUUUCAUUUUUGAAACAGGAAACAGAGAAAGUAUCUAACCCAAGGUCACAUAAUAAGCAAGCAGCUUAAGUAAAGAUUAGAACUCAAGCCUGACUCCAAAGGCAUAUUCUUUCUACUAUACCAUGAUGCUGCCUGAUAAUGGUUUUAGUUUUUUUUUUUCCACUGUUAAUAUUCCAGUGAUUGUGUAUCCAUCAGGAAAGAGGUCAAGGGACCAUAAACUUUUCUCUUAAUCCCUUCCUACCUUACCUGUAAUCUCUUCUCUAUGACUGACUGUUCAUCCCACGCUCUGUGGACUGCCCACACCCAAAAAAACUUUAGAACAUCAUUCUUCUCCAGGAAAUCUGAACUGGCUCCCGACUGAGCCUACUGCCAAAAUAGGAUAUGCUCCAUAGCAUCUCUCAAUAUCCCUUCUCCCUGGCUACUGCCUUUCUUAUAUAUGUAAAUCAGAUCCCAGUUUCCUUUAUUCCAUUUACCUACUUCCAGUCCCCUCUGAACCUUUACAAAAUUUUGUAAAUUUUGUCAUGCUGAAUGAGGAAUAUCUUCUACCACUUGACAGUUUACCACACUAAUACUGUCUCUUAAUCUACAAAAUACCAUGCACUAUGUUUUGAAUAUAGUUUAUAAUUACUACUUGUGGAUGUACUUAUGUUGUGUUCACUGUUUUAAAGUAUAACCUCAGAGUAUUUAUAUGCCCCUUUUGGGCUAUGUUGAGAGUACAUUCUGUUCUAGAUGCAAAGGUCUGGGAAGUGGAAGUAUGUUAAUCAUGCUUUGAAAUUAUAGCUACCAGCACAUGACACAAGUAUUUGAAAACACAUUUUCAUUAUAUUGUAAGAUUUGUACACAUGACACCAAAGAGAAAGCUGUAGGCUUGAGUCUAACUAAAAAAUCAUCAAAAUAGUUAAAUGAGUAAAAUUAUCUUUUAGCAUAAAUUUAACAUUUUAUGUAAAAGGAAAAAAACAAAAACAUAAGUGAAGACAAACUGGCCCAUAAUCAUUAUUAAAGUCACUUUAUUAACUAGAAUUUAAAUAUAAACUUAAAGACUUUUUCAAGUAAAAAAGGAAUAGUCACUUUAAUCAACCUAAAACAUAAGAAAAUACUGCAGUUUUUCUCUUUGGCUAAAUACUGUAUUGCCUACUCAAAAAAAAAAAAUGAAAGAAUUCACAGUGAUUUGUGUGGUAGGAUUAAAUACAAUGCUUGCUUAAGUAUACACACACACACACACACACACACACACACACACACACACACCUUGCGCUGUUUCCUCCCACAUUUAAAAAUUUGGCCAAAAUAGCUGAUGAUUAUAGACUAUUGAUAUGGAAAUACUUCAUUAUAACCAAACUGACUUUUUUGGGGGUCAAUCUCAAGAACAGAAUCUAGAACAAGCAAAAAAAGACAUAAAAUAGAUGCCACAGAGUUUAUACAUUAAAGAGUAUGUACUAUACUCAGAGGAAAACCUUUGGCCCACCUCUCUUAAAGACAAUUAACUUUUACUUUGUGCAAAAUUACAACAAGCUUAUUUAUCUAGUUUCUAAGUCCACAGUAAUUUAGAAGAGAGUAGGGACUACUGUUUAAAUUGAUAGCAGAGGAAGUAUGAUGGUCAACCAUUUAAUCACACGGGAAUAGUCAUAAAAACUCUAAAAAGCAGAAAUAAGAACUUGGACAGCAUGAUAGUAGGAGGCCAUUUACUAUAAAGAUUCUUAGUCCUAAGCCUUAAGGAGCUCUGACAGCAGCACUCUCUGACAGAUUAGGGUAAUAACUAACCUCCAUAAUAGUGAUUCUUACUCAUGUUGAACAAAACACCUACCAAUAUUUCUAUAAAAAAUAUAGUGGCUGAGCUGGCAAAAUAAGAGAAAUCCUUAGAAGUAAAAAAUGACCAACAGGAGGAAUCCAGAGAGGUAACAAUUACUGGGGCUGGUAGUUAUGGAUCCCGUAACCUAGCAAUAGCAUGGGAAGAGAAGACAAAGCUUAGGACUUGGGAAACUGGGGGGUAAACCAGAGACUCGAUUAUAAAGCCAAACCCCAAGAAGUUAUACUAUCAAUGAACAAAUGAACUAGGAAAAAUACCCCAUCUAUAAAAGGAGAUAGAAAAUUUGCCUGUUUCAACUUUUGUUCUUGGUGGGAUGAUAUAUCCCCUGAAAAUUCAUAAACACACAAUGGUUUGCACAUGAGAAGUUGGGGCUUUAACUUACUAUUACCCUUCUGGUCUUAAACAAAAACUAAUGCAAGGAUUCAGUUAAAGGGGGUUGGUUAUGUUCCCAGGCUCCAAUCAGAUAUACAGAUCAUCCCAGGAGAUAAAGUUCUAAUGAAUAGGAGCUUACAGUAAUAAAAUAUACCAUGAAAAAGGCACCAUUAGUAAGGGUCAGAAGAAACAAUAAUCACUUAACUCAGACCUGUAAGACUUGAGGUGUUAGAAUUAUAGAUACAGAAUACCAGUUUUAUAUGUCUUUUAUUAUUUUAAAGGAAGUGGAAAGUAUGGGUGAGGAACAAGAAACCAUCAAAAAAUAAGCAGAUUUAAAAAUGAAUCAAAUACAGAUUUUAUAAUUAUUAAAACUUAAAACUCAAUUGAUAUUCAGCAUAGCUAAAGAGAAAAUUAUUAGCAAACUAGAAAGUAAAUCUGAAGAAAUAAUUCAGAAUGUAGCAUACAAUGCAAAGAGAUCAAAAAUAUAAAAGAAAAAGACAUGGAGAAUGAAAUAGAAGGUGUAAUGUAUACAUAUAAUUACAUAGUAUAUAUGUAGUAAUGAUAUAUUGUAUACAUAUAUUUAGAAGGAGAAAAGCAAUAUUCUAAGAGAUGAUGACUGAGAAUUUUCCAGAACUGAUUAAAGAUACCAAUCCUCAUUUUUUCCAGGAAGCACAAUGAAUCCCAUGCAGAAUAACAGAAACGAAAUUCAUAUCUUGACAUAUAGUAAAACUGAAAAAUUCCAAGAAAAAGGGAAGACCUUAAAAGUUAUCCAAGAGAACAGUCAGAUUAUCUACAAAGGGAUACUAAAUGGACUAUUUUUUUAACAAUGGAAGUCAGAGGACAAUGGAAUAGUAUCUUCAAAGCACCGAGAGAGAAAAUGGCCACUCUUCAAUUGUAUUAAUAUAUGAAACUGUCUAUUGAGAAAGCUAAUGCAAGAAACACAUUUUAAGAGAUAAAAAGUAAGUUUACCACCAAUAAGUCUUCAUUGAGGGAGCUUCCUUUCAGGAAAAAGCAAAAUGAUCCUAGAAGGAAGUGUGUAAAAUACUAUAUAGUCAACAAAGAAAAGGUUCCUUGUACUUGAGAUUUUCAUUUCAUGGGUAAAAUUCUCACCUAUGUAGAAUAAAGAGUACAUCCUCUAAGGAUUCUGAACAGCUUUAUGUGAACAUAUGCUUUCAUUUCUCUUGACUUGGAGAGAAAUGGCUGAUUCCCAUAAUAAAUAUAGGUUUAACUUUUUAAGUAACUGCCAAACCAUUUACUACAGUGGUUGUACCAUUUUCAUAUUACUACCAGCCGUCUGAGAGUUCCAGUGGUUAUACACCUUCACCAACAGUUAGCAUGAUAAAUAUUAUUUUAGGCUAUCUAGUGGUAUAGUGUGGUGGUUCUUACCUGGGGAUGAUUUGGCCCCCUAGGAAACAUUUGACAUCAGGUUACAUUUUUCAUUUUCACAACUGGUGGGUGGGUGGUUUGCUACUGGCAUGUAGCUGGUAGAGGCCAGGGAUGCUACCAAAUAGCCUACAACACAUAGGGCAGCCCCUCACAACAGAGAAUUAUCUGGCCCAAACUUUAAGUGCUGAGGUUAAGAAGCCCUAGUGUAGUAAUAUCUCACUGUGGAUUUAACUUGCCUAUCUUGGGUAACUAUUAAUAGUGAUCACCUUUCAAUGUGCUUAUUAGUCAUUUAUAUAUCUUUUUAAUGAAGUCUCAGUUCAAAUCAUUUGUCCAUUUAAAACAAUUUAUUUUAAUGUUUGUUUAUUUUUGAGAGACAGAGCACAAGUGGGGGAGGUGCAGAGAGAAGGAGACACAGAAUCCGAAGCAGGCUCCAGGCUCUGAGCUGUCAGCACAGAGCCUGAUGUGGGGCUCAAACUCACAGACCGCGAGAUCAUGACCCGAGCUGAAGUCAGAUGCUUAACUGACUGAGCCAUCCAGGCACCCCUCAUUUGUCCAUUUUUAAAAAUUGGGUUGUUGUCUUCUUGUUACAGAGUUGUAAGUAUUCUUUAUACGUUUUGAAUACAAAUUGUUUGAUACAUAUGGUUGUGAAUAUUUUCUUCCAGUCUAUGGCUUGUCAUUUCAUUUUCCUAAUGGUGUCUUUUGAAGAGCAUAGAUUUUAAAGUUUUUAAUUUUGGUGUAAUCCAAUUUAUCAAUUUUUUUUCUUUAAUUUUUUAUACUUGUAUGUUCUAAGAAACCUUUGCCUGCCCCAAGGUCACAAAGAUUUUUUUUUCCUGUUUUCUUCUAGAAGUUAUACCUUUGGAUUAUAUAAAUUUUAUUACAUCUGAAAAUCAAACUGAUAAAGAGUUUCUCUCCAGGAAAUGGGAUUAUGGGACCAGAUCUGACCCUGAAGUCUGCUGGUACACUGUACAUAUGCAUGUUAAAUUAAGUACUCUGAUGAUGUUCUACUACAUAAACACCAUACAGCAAAAAGUAAAAUGGUCUUUCUUCCAGAGACUCGAGCAGGCAAAUACUGGAGUAAAACAGGGUUAAACAGCAUAGUUUUACUUACAGUAUCCUUGGGUCAUAAAAAGGCAUUUCUUAAAAGCAGUAUUAAUUGAUGCCACAUGGAAAACUGGGUAGCACAUACCACAGAAACAGAGAAUCCACUACCUAAAAAUGAUUUUCUCAGUCCUAGGACCUCACACAGGAAAAGGAACAGUCCAUGGGAGCAGUGUGUUGGACAAUGAGAUCCUUUUAAAAAGUCCCCUAAACCAUGGCUAUUUGUAUCAAAAAAUAACCCCCCAACCAUUCCAAAAGAUCUGCAGUUGAAGAAAUGAAAAAUGAUGCUGGAAUUGCACAAUGGUGCAUAUUGGUGACAUUAGAGAAGCUAUCUUUGGGGCCGCCUGUAUGGCUCAGUUGACAGAGAGUCUGACUUCAGCUCAGGUCAUGUUCUCACAGUUCGUGAGUUUGGGCUGCACAUCAGGCUCACAGUUGUCCACAAGGAGCCGACCUCGGAUCCUCUGUCACCCUUUGUCUCUGCCCCUUCCCUGCUCAUACUCUCUCUCAAAAAUAAACAAACAUUUAAAAAAAGAAAAGACAUCUUUGAGCGGAGUUUGAAGAUUACUUUGAAAAAUGUACAUUAACUAUCUCAUGUAGAUUUAGAUUCUAAAUUGUUCACUUAAUAGUCUAAAAUUCUUACCAUUUCAUGCCUACUCCGAAACAGAGAUUUAGUGUAUAAAAAUUAUGAUUUCAGGAUACUUUUCUGUCUUCUCUGCUUAAGAAAAUUGUUUACUACAGAACAUCUGCAAUAAUAUAAGCAGUAAAUGGGGGAACUAAAGUAGCAAGAAAGGUCCUAAAUGCUACAAGGAAUUUCAGAGAGCUACUAAUUCUAAGGAUAAUAGAGCUGUGUGUCCUAGAAAGACUUUUUCCUAGCCACUGAUGACUAAAAGUAAGAUUCUUAGAUACAGUCAAAGAGUGACAGAUAACACAAGUUCUUAGACAUUAACUACCCUCAGAAUGUUGGACUCCCCUCCCCCAUGCCAUCCUUCCCAUCCCACCCCAGCACGGGUGGCAGGUAAACAUUAAUAAAAUGGCCUUUUAACUUGGCUGUAGCUCUUCCUGAUAAUUGGGACUUAGACUCACAUGUCUGCUUCCUCUGAUUCUCCAUUCUUUGGUCUUGUAUUAGCAUGAACAAGAUCCCUAGCUCUGGAACUCUCAGAAUCUAAGCAUUAGUACUUGACAAGAAGUCAUUGCUAGGGUCCCUGUGAUUGGAGAAUCGGGUCUAAUGAGAGGUAUGAAAAUCAAGAAGAAGAAGAAUAGGUUCUGGAGAAGCAAGGAUAUCAGAAAACUACUUAGGACUAUGAAAUGUCCACGGAGGCAUGAACAGUGCUCUAUGUCCAGAGCAUUUAUAUAAAGAUACAGACUGCUAAUAAUGUGUUCUUAUGCAUGCAGAGUAUAAUGGGAAAAAAGACAGUGGGAGAAUUCUUUAGUGUUUCUAUAGAUGAGGCAACUGAACUUUUUUCAUGUCUCAAAAUAUUCUUUUCUUAGUUGCCUAAAAUGAUUUCAUCCAUGAGUUUGAGGAUAGGGUAGGUAAGAAUAAGUGAAUGAAAUAAAAAAUAAAAAUAACCAACGUGGAUUAGAAAGCAAUAAGUCACACAGGAAAAAUGUAUGUCUGAAGUUCUCAAGAUCCUCAAGUCUUGGAAAGAACCAUAAAAUCUCAUGUUAUAUACUGAAUAUGACUCUACAUAUGGACUGUGGAAUAAAAAGUAAAACGUAUAUAGAAUUUUACAGUCCACAAAUUUCACAUAGAGUGACUUGGCAAUUUCUCACAACAACUUUGUGAGAUGGAUCUCACUCCUGUGUUACCCAAGAAGAAACUUGUCAUGAAACUGAAAAGUGGCAGAGCUAUGGGUCAAAAGUAAGUCUGUGUGCCUUCGGAUCCAGUGCCCUUUCCUUUCCAUCUCUCAACAGUUACAAAUGCAACUACAGAACUUUAGUGCAUUGUCCAGAGUGAGGACAUAUUGCUCUGGACUCCGGAGACACUGCUGGAACUUUGGGACAACUUGGGGCUGAGACCAGCAGAAGGAAAAGGUUUCCUGUUCACAGUCCUGACAGCUGAGGAAGGGGCUGUCAUGAGCUUUCUACUAGACAUUUAAAAAAUAGAUUGUUUCCAUGGAGGAGGCCCGAGGAAGAUUUACAGACAGGGGAGAUAGGUAUACAGUUCUGCGACCUUCCAGUUGAAGUAUAACCAGUGUCUGACCAUGGAAGGCAGAUGCUCCCUUAUGUAUGAUUUUAACACUUGCCUUAUUGAUUCUUUUCCCAUGACAAUGAUGUAAUUGAAAAUGUAUUAAAAACUGAAGAGAUGUAGUUUAAAUAUUUAAUUUUUACCAAAGCCACUAAUGAUUUUAAUUUACUGUUUUUUAAACUUCUUUAAUUUUCAAGUUCAGAAAAUAUAUACAUAUGUGUUGUUAAAGUUUUACAUUCAUUUAGCAUACUUUCAAAUUUACAUUCGUUGGUUGUAAAAUGAGAACAAAACAUGUAGUAAUCAUGCUGUUUUAAAAACUGUCAGAAGUUCUCAGGGGAGUGUUCAAAUUGUGAGGGGAACUCUAGAAUUUAUUCUAUUUGCUCAAACUAUCUUACACUAUCAUUUGAGUGCAAUUCUGUAAUCUUUUUGCGUGAAGAUGCUAUUGAUUUCAGCAUAGUGUACUUCCUCAUUUAACAUUCCAUAUAUAAUUGAGUAAUGUUAUUAAAAAUAAAAUAAAAUGAAAUGUAGUUUCAGAGCCAGCCCUCAGGGACUUACAAUCGAGUUGAUAAUAAAAGACUGAGAAACAGAAGACAAUACUGGGCAACAUAUAAUUAUGCAUUAAAUGACAUGCCACAAACUGCAAAUAUUCAGGAGUAGAAACUAUCAGUAAAGUCUUAAAAGGCAGCUAGAGGGGAAUGGAACUGAGGAGAAAACAAGCUGCAGGAACUCAAGAGACUAUAAGGAGACUAUUUUGGCUCUGGCAGGAGGAUAAGUUAGUAAGCGGUGGGAAAUAAGUUAGAGUCGGUUGUAGGGAGCCUAGAAAA
Acinonyx jubatus (cheetah) is the source of this 10690-nucleotide long non-coding RNA. RefSeq lists it as uncharacterized. The record is from RefSeq and is a predicted model, not a curated record. NCBI's taxonomy places the organism in Eukaryota, Metazoa, Chordata, Mammalia, Carnivora, Felidae. The transcript has 2 exons.